GUGCUUGUUUCAGCAGUGCACAUACUAAAAUUGGAACAGUACAGAUAAGAUUAGUUUGGCCUCUGUACAAGGAUGACAGACAAAUUCAUGAAAUAUUCCAUAUUUUU
Small nuclear RNA from Microcebus murinus (gray mouse lemur), 107 nucleotides. The record is from Ensembl. Lineage: Eukaryota; Metazoa; Chordata; Mammalia; Primates; Cheirogaleidae.